Molecule: long non-coding RNA, 212 nt
Filed under: Elaeis guineensis (African oil palm)
Lineage: Eukaryota; Viridiplantae; Streptophyta; Magnoliopsida; Arecales; Arecaceae
Description: long non-coding RNA (EGUI_LNC050644)
Source: RNAcentral
AGUUUGGCCUCUUUUGAGAUAGUGCAUUCCACCAUGAAGUCUGCUAAUAUCUGGGCUUUUAUUGCUGGCCGAGGUCAAUAGUCGAUGUCGAACUCUGUGAGCUUGACUGCCCAUUUCACUAUUCUCCCAAAGGCAUCCGCUCGAUGCAGAACCACCUUGAUCGGCUGGUCGGUGAGCAGUGUUACGGUGUGUCCUUGGAAGUAAGGUCAGAG